UGCCAUAGCUAGGGGUGUCUGUCAUAGGAAUCAGACUGAGAUAGUCCCUUAGAACCUGAGACUGGGUAAUACCAGCGUAGGGAAGCUGUUAAUAGAGGAU
RNAcentral lists this non-coding RNA (100 nucleotides) under Synechococcus sp. RNAcentral's name for it is "TPP sequence". It matches the Rfam family "TPP riboswitch aptamer (THI element)". From Rfam's summary of the family: Vitamin B(1) in its active form thiamin pyrophosphate (TPP) is an essential coenzyme that is synthesised by coupling of pyrimidine and thiazole moieties in bacteria. The previously detected thiamin-regulatory element, thi box was extended, resulting in a new, highly conserved RNA secondary structure, the THI element, which is widely distributed in eubacteria and also occurs in some archaea. Lineage: Bacteria; Bacillati; Cyanobacteriota; Cyanophyceae; Synechococcales; Synechococcaceae. The record is from RNAcentral. RNAcentral also lists the same sequence under 1 other name.